UAAGCAUUGCAAGAAAAAAGGCUGAAAUCAAAGUCUUCUUCCCGCUCUCUUCUUCCUCGUCAUUAUCAUUCAAUUUGUUUUUCAUUUUUUUUUGUUUCUUGUUAUUAUUCAUCUUCAUCGUCCUUAGUCUCUUCAAUGUAUUAAAUCUACUCUUGUUCAUUGAUCUGAUCAUGAUGCAACUAUAUCAGUUUUUUGUCUGUGUGUAUUACAGUAAACUAUUGGCCAACUCUCACUUUUUCACUCAUGUAAACAUCAUCCGUCAUUUUAUUCAUCAUCGCUUUUUCUCACAUCCACUCUUCUUCUUCUCUUUUCCUCUGUUCUCUCCAUUUUGAUUCUCUAACGGACCGUGAUAAUGCAACAGAUAACACCACCUUUUAACCAGAUAUUUGACUGGAAAAUUUAUCUCUAUGUUUUUAUUGACAUAGCACAUUAAACACUUAACCUGAUUCAGUCUGUUAGCUUAUGGUAAUCUCAUAUUGAAACCAAGUUUAUUAACGGGCCAUCAAUUAGUUUAGUCUAAACAGCACCAAAAGAUGUACCAAAAGAAAGUGGAACCACAAGGGAAGGGAAGGAUAACAUAAUGAAGGACAGCAAAAACACAAGACAAGACACAAAAAUGCAAAUCUAGAAAUCAAAAGAGUCCAUUAACGGAUCAAUAUUCAAUCAAGCACUGCCAAGCAACCGUGCACUGGUUUUAAAAUUCAAUUGGACCAGAACAAGACGAAUCUUGAAAUGAUGCUUACAGAUGAGGAGACAAUUAAUGCUAUGAAAUAUGCAACAAACCGUACUUUUUCAGCUGAUCUCAAGUUCGUUUUAAGACACACAUAGAUGUACAUUAAUAGCAGCAACCCUGAUAAUAAUGUCAUCAACUAAUAUGUUAUGCGUUGUGAUAUCAGCUUUAUGCUAUUUAUGUGAGUCCAACCAUAUUAAUCAACCUGCCCUUGGGUGUUAAAAUAGUUGGCCACAAUUUAUGGUGGAUAAGGAGGUUACAAAGCAUUUUUAUAUCUAUUAUUAUGAUUAUUAUUGGUGUUGUUCAAUGAGAAGCAACAAUAAAAGGAAUUGUUGUUCGGUUAAAGGUAAACUAUAUUAUUAUGACAAUUGUAAAUGACAAGCCAAACUAUAAACAGAAACCUCCUCUCAACUCAACUCCUUUCAACAUUGAAAAUAUUAUAUUUUGCUUUGGAGCAAAGAGGCAACUGUGGAGUAAAAAAUCUUGAUGUGAUUGUCUGUUUUUGACAGAUUAUACAGUAACAUAACAAUCAGUACAAACAUACAACACUGUAUUCACUUCAACUAAAGCUAAUUAACAUCAACACUUUGAUCAUCUUCAUUCUUACCAUCACCACCACAAUUAUUGUAACCAUCAUGUGUUGAAAGGAAAAAGCAGGAGAAAGGAAAAUUGGUGACAAUUUUUGGCUCUUCAUUCACACCUAUUAGCUGAAGAUGAUUAAGAAUCACACCAGGAAUCAACAAUUAGUGGAUUCAAUUUAACUUGUAAUGUUACUUUCAUACAUAUCCAUGCAAUCUUUUACAUUUUAAAUCUCGAUUAUGUAAAAUGUAAUCCACAAUGUAAUCCAUACACAAUGUACAACAAUAAUCUACUUUUCUGGAUCAUCAUUUUCAUCUUUUUCAAUCUAAUCAUUUUUUUAAUCAUAUUGAAACUGAUGGACAUCUUUUUGUUACUAUUUGCACGUGACAAUCAACAUGAAAUGAUUAGGUUAAGAUGAAGAUGAAAAUGAUGACAAAGAAACAACCGAUUGAUGUAUUUGUAAUAACAUGUCAUGGUAAAGGGCAUAACCAUGUUUUAUUUUCAAAUGUGAAUAAACAUGAAUCCCGUUGAAUGUUAA
This is a long non-coding RNA of Tetranychus urticae (two-spotted spider mite), 1847 nucleotides long. RefSeq lists it as uncharacterized. The record is from RefSeq and is a predicted model, not a curated record. Lineage: Eukaryota; Metazoa; Arthropoda; Arachnida; Trombidiformes; Tetranychidae.